RNAcentral lists this ribosomal RNA (453 nucleotides) under uncultured bacterium. RNAcentral describes it as "bacterial SSU rRNA". It matches the Rfam family "Bacterial small subunit ribosomal RNA", at positions 340 to 786 of the family's 1533-position model. The record is from RNAcentral.
UACGGAAGGCAGCAGUGGGGAAUAUUGCACAAUGGGCGCAAGUCUGAUGCAGCCAUGCCGCGUGUAUGAAGAAGGCCUUCGGGUUGUAAAGUACUUUCAGUCGUGAGGAAGGUGUUAAGGUUAAUAACCUUAGCAAUUGACGUUAGCGACAGAGGAAGCACCGGCUAACUCCGUGCCAGCAGCCACGGUAAUACGGAGGGUGCGAGCGUUAAUCGGAAUUACUGGGCGUAAAGGGCACGCAGGCGGUUAAUUAAGUUGGAUGUGAAAUCCCCGGGCUUAACCUGGGAAUGGCAUUCAAGACUGGUUAGCUAGAGUCUUGUAGAGGGGGUAGAAUUCCAUGUGUAGCGGUGAAAUGCGUAGAGAUGUGGAGGAAUACCGGUGGCGAAGGCGGCCCCUGGACAAAGACUGACGCUCAUGUGCGAAAGCGUGGGGAGCAAACAGGGAUUAGAUACC